GGAUAGUUCAGUUGGUUAGAGUGUGGUGCUGAUAACUCCCAAGGUUGCAGGUUCGAUCCCCAUAGGGGACA
This 71-nucleotide transfer RNA is filed under the name Podarcis lilfordi (Lilford's wall lizard). RNAcentral's name for it is "tRNA.Ile". Lineage: Eukaryota; Metazoa; Chordata; Lepidosauria; Squamata; Lacertidae. The record is from RNAcentral.